UACAGGGGGGGCAAGCGUUGUUCGGAAUUACUGGGCGUAAAGGGCCAGUAGGCGGCCAACUAAGUCCGACGUGAAAUCCCCAGGCUUAACCUGGGAACUGCGUCGGAUACCGGAUGGCUUGAAUUCGGGAGAGGGAUGCAGAAUUCCAGGUGUAGCGGUGAAAUGCGUAGAUAUCGGGAGGAACACCAGUGGCGAAGGCGACUUCCUGGCCUGUUCUUGACGCUGAGGCGCGAAAGCUAGGGUAGCAAACGGG
This 253-nucleotide ribosomal RNA is filed under the name uncultured bacterium. RNAcentral describes it as "partial 16S ribosomal RNA". It matches the Rfam family "Bacterial small subunit ribosomal RNA", at positions 524 to 776 of the family's 1533-position model. The record is from RNAcentral.